This 324-nucleotide ribosomal RNA is filed under the name uncultured eukaryote. Its description in RNAcentral is "partial 18S ribosomal RNA". It matches the Rfam family "Eukaryotic small subunit ribosomal RNA", at positions 1470 to 1796 of the family's 1831-position model. The record is from RNAcentral.
CCCUUAGAUGUUCUGGGCUGCACGCGCGCUACACUGAAGCUAUCAACACGUUUUCCCUCCCUGAGAAGGGCGGGUAACCUUUUGAAUCAGCUUCGUGGUAGGGAUCGGGGCUUGCAAUUGUUCCCCGUGAACCAGGAAUUCCUAGUAGACGCGAGUCAUAAGCUCGCAUCGAUUAAGUCCCUGCCCUUUGUACACACCGCCCGUCGCUACUACCGAUUGAACGUUUUAGUGAGGCAUUUGGACCGACGCAUCUCAGUUUAGCCGCUGGUUUGUGUUGGAAAGACUUCCAAACUUGAGCGUUUAGAGGAAGUAAAAGUCGUAACA